This 490-nucleotide ribosomal RNA is filed under the name uncultured Acidobacteriota bacterium. RNAcentral describes it as "bacterial SSU rRNA". It matches the Rfam family "Bacterial small subunit ribosomal RNA", at positions 355 to 836 of the family's 1533-position model. Lineage: Bacteria; Pseudomonadati; Acidobacteriota. The record is from RNAcentral.
UGGGGAAUUGUUCACAAUGGGCGCAAGCCUGAUGACGCAACGCCGCGUGGGGGAUGAAGGUCUUCGGAUUGUAAACCCUUGUCGAGCGGGAAGAACGAUCCGCGUAUUAACACUACGCGGAACUGACGGUACCGCUAAAGGAAGCCACGGCUAACUCUGUGCCAGCAGCCGCGGUAAUACAGAGGUGGCAAGCGUUGUUCGGAAUUACUGGGCGUAAAGGGCGCGUAGGCGGCCAUCUAAGUCAGACGUGAAAUCCCCCGGCUUAACCUGGGAACUGCGUCUGAUACUGGACGGCUCGAGUUUGGGAGAGGGAUGUGGAAUUCCAGGUGUAGCGGUGAAAUGCGUAGAUAUCUGGAGGAACACCGGUGGCGAAGGCGGCAUCCUGGACCAACACUGACGCUGAGGCGCGAAAGCUAGGGGAGCAAACGGGAUUAGAUACCCCGGUAGUCCUAGCCCUAAACGAUGAAUGCUUGGUGUGGCGGGUAUCGAU